RNAcentral lists this ribosomal RNA (253 nucleotides) under uncultured bacterium. RNAcentral describes it as "partial 16S ribosomal RNA". It matches the Rfam family "Bacterial small subunit ribosomal RNA", at positions 524 to 776 of the family's 1533-position model. The record is from RNAcentral.
UACAGAGGUCCCAAGCGUUGUUCGGAUUCACUGGGCGUAAAGGGUGUGUAGGCGGCGAGGUAAGUUGCGUGUUAAAUUUCGGGGCUUAACCCCGAAACCGCUCGCAAUACUGCUUUGCUCGAGGACUGUAGAGGAGAAUGGAAUUCACGGUGUAGCAGUGAAAUGCGUAGAUAUCGUGAGGAAGACCAGUGGCGAAGGCGAAUCUCUGGGCAGUUCCUGACGCUGAGACACGAAGGCCAGGGGAGCAAACGGG